UGGGGCAUCGUCUAACGGUAGGACGACGGACUCUGAAUUCGUUAGUCGUGGUUCGAAUCCACGUGCCCCAACCA
This 74-nucleotide transfer RNA is filed under the name Deltaproteobacteria bacterium RIFOXYA12_FULL_58_15. Its description in RNAcentral is "tRNA-Gln". It matches the Rfam family "tRNA". Rfam says of the family: Transfer RNA (tRNA) molecules are approximately 80 nucleotides in length. Their secondary structure includes four short double-helical elements and three loops (D, anti-codon, and T loops). The record is from RNAcentral. Lineage: Bacteria; Deltaproteobacteria. RNAcentral also lists the same sequence under 1 other name.